Molecule: non-coding RNA, 115 nt
Organism: Bacillus sp. OV166
Lineage: Bacteria; Bacillati; Bacillota; Bacilli; Caryophanales; Bacillaceae
Source: Rfam
AUAAAUAACUAGGGGUGCCCAAUAAGUUGGGCUGAGAAAGAAACACGAUGAAGUUUCUUGACUCUUGGGACCUGAUCUGGAUCAUACCAGCGUGGGGAAGUUAGAAUAGACAAUC